This 301-nucleotide ribosomal RNA is filed under the name uncultured bacterium. RNAcentral's name for it is "partial 16S ribosomal RNA". It matches the Rfam family "Bacterial small subunit ribosomal RNA", at positions 509 to 807 of the family's 1533-position model. The record is from RNAcentral.
CAGUCGCCGCGGGAAUACAGAGGGUGCAAGCGUUAAUCGGAUUUACUGGGCGUAAAGGGCGCGUAGGUGGUUAUUUAAGUGAGAUGUGAAAGCCCCGGGCUUAACCUGGGAACUGCAUCUUAUACUGGGUAACUGGAGUGCAGUAGAGGGUAGUGGAAUUUCCGGUGUAGCGGUAAAAUGCGUAGAUAUCGGAAGGAACACCAGUGGCGAAGGCGGCUACCUGGACUGAGACUGACACUGAGGCGCGAGAGCGUGGGGAGCAAACAGGAUUAGAUACCCCCGUAGUCCCUGUCUCUUAUAC